CGAGAUGAGAUUUCCCAACUUCGGUUAUAAGAUCCCUCAAAGAUGAUGAGGUGAAUAGGUUCGAGGUGGAAGCGUAGCGAUACGUGGAGCUGACGAAUACUAAUCGAUCGAAGACUUAAUCAA
This 123-nucleotide ribosomal RNA is filed under the name Staphylococcus pseudintermedius. Its description in RNAcentral is "partial 23S ribosomal RNA". It matches the Rfam family "Bacterial large subunit ribosomal RNA", at positions 2800 to 2925 of the family's 2925-position model. Lineage: Bacteria; Bacillati; Bacillota; Bacilli; Caryophanales; Staphylococcaceae. The record is from RNAcentral.